Molecule: ribosomal RNA, 253 nt
Filed under: uncultured bacterium
Lineage: Bacteria
Description: partial 16S ribosomal RNA
Rfam family: Bacterial small subunit ribosomal RNA
Source: RNAcentral
UACGUAGGGUGCGAGCGUUAAUCGGAAUUACUGGGCGUAAAGCGUGCGCAGGCGGUCUGUUAAGACCGAUGUGAAAUCCCCGGGCUUAACCUGGGAACUGCGUUUAAAACUGCUUAUCUAGAGUAAUGUAGAGGAUAGUGGAAUUUCCAGUGUAGCGGUGAAAUGCGUAGAUAUUGGAAGGAACACCAGUGGCGAAGGCGACUAUCUGGACAGAUACUGACACUGAGACACGAAAGCGUGGGGAGCAAACAGG